Molecule: ribosomal RNA, 460 nt
Filed under: uncultured bacterium
Lineage: Bacteria
Description: partial 16S ribosomal RNA
Rfam family: Bacterial small subunit ribosomal RNA
Source: RNAcentral
CCUACGGGAGGCAGCAGUGGGGAAUAUUGGUCAAUGGGCGCUAGCCUGACCCAGCAAAGUAGCGUGAAGGAUGAAUGCCCUAUGGGUGUUAAACUUCUUUGAUAUGGGAAUAUAGUACAGGAUGUAUGCUGCUUUACAUGUGCCUUAUGAAUAAGUAUCAGCUAACUCCGUGCCAGCAGCCGCGGUAAUACGUAGGAUCCGAGCGUUAUCCGGAUUUAUUGGGUGUAAAGGAAGCGUAGGCGGGUUGUUAAGUCAGUUGUGAAAGUUUGCGGCUUAACCGUAAAAUUGCAGUUGAUACUUGUAUCCUUGAGUACAGUUGAGGCAGGCGGAAUUCGUGGUGUAGCGGUGAAAUGCUUAGAUAUCACGAAGAACUCCGAUGGCGAAGGCAGUCUACUAAACUGCCACUGACAGUGAUGCGCGAAAGUGUGGGGAUCAAACAGGAUUAGAUACCCUUGUAGUC